This 99-nucleotide signal recognition particle RNA is filed under the name Avibacterium paragallinarum. Its description in RNAcentral is "signal recognition particle sRNA small type". It matches the Rfam family "Bacterial small signal recognition particle RNA". From Rfam's summary of the family: The signal recognition particle (SRP) is a universally conserved ribonucleoprotein involved in the co-translational targeting of proteins to membranes. Archaeal SRP consists of a 7S RNA and homologues of the eukaryotic SRP19 and SRP54 proteins. Lineage: Bacteria; Pseudomonadati; Pseudomonadota; Gammaproteobacteria; Pasteurellales; Pasteurellaceae. RNAcentral also lists the same sequence under 7 other names. The record is from RNAcentral.
UUCUCGGUUCCUCGCAACGAGGUCUGGUUUACUCGGUCAGGUUCGGAAGAAAGCAGCCAAAGUCAGAUUUUUCGUGUGCCGAGAUCAAGCUGGGAAGGU